This is a non-coding RNA of Merops nubicus (carmine bee-eater), 46 nucleotides long. The record is from Rfam. Lineage: Eukaryota; Metazoa; Chordata; Aves; Coraciiformes; Meropidae.
CCAAAUGCUCUUUUAAGAGCCACCCACCUUUUCUAUAAAAGAGCUG